UCAGAUAUUUUCCAGUUUCCCCUCACAACAAUUUGCAUCAAACCUCUUGUCUGCUCCUCAGCUGAAAUCAUCAUCUAGCAGUCACAAUAGUUGAGCGGUUGGAGAGGCAUGCAUUGCGUCCUACUACUGCUCAGACUAUAUUAUGUUUGGCAGACAAAACAUGCUGAUCAAAAAGAAUGUGUACCACAGGGGCCAGUGUUUCCAUUUGAGUGAUUGACAAGAAGAAGAAGAGAUGAGAAAUGUUAUCAUCAUAUUUUAGUCCCUACAUUUAUAGUGUACAGCUCAAUGUAUUGAACCGGUGUUGUAGAAUAUAAUUGGAGAUACAUGCGAACAUUAUAACAUUAUAUAUAAGAUGAUAUUUCAAAAGCAAUAAGAAAUAAAAAGUAUACAAAGGUCAAAACAGUAAACCUUGUGUUUACAGUGGACAGGUUUAAAGUGGAAGUGACUAGUUAACUGUUGAUCAUAAGCUGCACUGAUGGAAAAAAUAGUGGGAAAUUACUAUCUAGAAAACUGUUUAACGUACGACAACAGUUGUGGAACUUCAUAAAUGACCGUAUGUAACAGGGCUGGGCAGUUUUCCUUAUAUAGCUAUAGUGAAACCUUUUGAACACUAGUGAAGUCACUGUUUUUUUUCCAAUCUUCAUGCAUUUUGGUCGAAUAUUUGUUCAAAUGAUGGCUCAGUCCAGUUUCGAAAUUUUUAUGUCUAUUAAAAAAACAUAUCCACUAGAGCACGAGGCAAUUGUCUUUAUAUGGCUUUAAUGAAACCUUGUAAAUUCUCUAGAAGUGACAUUUUUAGCCAUAUCUCCAUAAAUUUUGGUCAGAAUAUUUAUUCUAAUGAUAGCUCAGUUGUCGAGUUUGUAACUGGUUCCGGUUUGUAGACUAACAUGGCUGCCAGUGGACAUGACAGUUUUUAGC
Molecule: long non-coding RNA, 915 nt
Organism: Dreissena polymorpha
Lineage: Eukaryota; Metazoa; Mollusca; Bivalvia; Myida; Dreissenidae
Exons: 3
Source: RefSeq, a predicted model, not a curated record